GUUUUAAUAGUUCUAAAAAAAACAUCGGUUUUGUAAACCGAAGUUAAGCCUAACCCCCGCUUUUAAAACU
This 70-nucleotide transfer RNA is filed under the name Menglacris maculata. RNAcentral's name for it is "tRNA-Thr". Lineage: Eukaryota; Metazoa; Arthropoda; Insecta; Orthoptera; Acrididae. The record is from RNAcentral.